Molecule: long non-coding RNA, 248 nt
Filed under: Carica papaya (papaya)
Lineage: Eukaryota; Viridiplantae; Streptophyta; Magnoliopsida; Brassicales; Caricaceae
Description: long non-coding RNA (CPAP_LNC001869)
Source: RNAcentral
UAUUCCCUCAUCAGGUGCGAUCGGACGAUCGCAAUUAAAUACAAUGAAUAGUCUAGAUUCGUUUCUUCUUUAAAUGCGAUCGUACGGUCGAUAUCAAAUCGUGAUGAACGAUCCAGAUUCAUUUCUUCUUUAAACGUAAUCGAACGGUCGAGAUCAAACGCGAUGAAUGGUCCAGAUUUAAGGGAGAUAGAUAUAAAUAUCUCACAUUAUAUCAAACAUAAACCCUAGCUGCUAGCCUCCCGCUAGAG